AUGGAGAGUUUGAUCCUGGCUCAGGACGAACGCUGGCGGCGUGCUUAACACAUGCAAGUCGAACGAGAAGAGAUGAAGAAGCUUGCUU
This 88-nucleotide ribosomal RNA is filed under the name Megasphaera sp. NM10. RNAcentral's name for it is "partial 16S ribosomal RNA". The record is from RNAcentral. Lineage: Bacteria; Bacillati; Bacillota; Negativicutes; Veillonellales; Veillonellaceae.